This is a long non-coding RNA of Eriocheir sinensis (Chinese mitten crab), 373 nucleotides long. RefSeq lists it as uncharacterized. NCBI's taxonomy places the organism in Eukaryota, Metazoa, Arthropoda, Malacostraca, Decapoda, Varunidae. The transcript has 3 exons. The record is from RefSeq and is a predicted model, not a curated record.
GAUAACCCAAUUUUAUUAUCAGCGAUAAAGUAUCGCGAUAACUUACCGCGAUAACGCCCAGCUAUGAGAUUAUGUUAGGUAAGGUUAGAUUAGGUUAGGUAAGGUUAGAUUAGGUUAGGGAAGGUUAGGUAAGGUUAGAUUAGGUUAGGGAAGGUUAGGUAAGGUUAGAUUAGGUUAGGGAAGGUUAGGUAAGGUUAGAUUAGGUUAGGGAAGGUUAGGUAAGGUUAGAUUAGGUUAGGGAAGGUUAGGUAAGGUUAGAUUAGGUGAGGUAAGGAAAACCGAGGUUUGACUGUAUUUUUAUUUUAUUUUAUUUUCUCUUUUUUUGUGUGUAUUUCUCUUUCCUCUCUCUCUCUCUCUCUCUCUCUCUCUCUCU